This 453-nucleotide ribosomal RNA is filed under the name uncultured Paraprevotella sp. RNAcentral describes it as "partial 16S ribosomal RNA". It matches the Rfam family "Bacterial small subunit ribosomal RNA", at positions 341 to 792 of the family's 1533-position model. The record is from RNAcentral. Lineage: Bacteria; Pseudomonadati; Bacteroidota; Bacteroidia; Bacteroidales; Prevotellaceae.
ACGGAAGGCAGCAGUGAGGAAUAUUGGUCAAUGGGCGGAAGCCUGAACCAGCCAAGUCGCGUGAAGGAUGAAGGUAUUAUGUAUCGUAAACUCCUUUUGCCUGAGGGUAAAGUGGCCUACGUGUAGGUUAUUGCAAGUAUCAGGUGAAUAAGCAUCGGCUAACUCCGUGCCAGCAGCCGCGGUAAUACGGAGGAUGCGAGCGUUAUCCGGAUUUAUUGGGUUUAAAGGGAGCGUAGGCGGCCCGUUAAGUCAGCGGUCAAAUCAGGUGGCUCAACCAUCUGUCGCCGUUGAAACUGUCGGGCUUGAGUGCACAAGAGGUGGAUGGAAUUCAUGGUGUAGCGGUGAAAUGCUUAGAUAUCAUGAAGAACUCCGAUUGCGAAGGCAGUCCACUGGGGUGUUACUGACGCUGAUGCACGAAAGUGCGGGUAUCAAACAGGAUUAGAUACCCUGGUA